CCAGGUACCCUAUUAAUAUGAUUUUAAUUAAAAGUUUUAUAUUAUAAAGUAGAAAGCCAACUAAAAAAUACUUUGUGAAAUUGAAAUACAUUUCAUACUUAAUACAGAUUAAAUGGUUUGUAUCUACCCCUUCCCCACUUUAGUUGUAAAAAUGUUACUGUAAAAUUACAUUUCAGUUUUAAAAAUCUGAACAAGGUAUAUAUGUUUACUGGAGCAGCCUCCCUUUAAAAUACAAAAUAAGAGGACACCUGGGUGGCUCAGUCAUAAGUGGUUGCCUUUGGCUCUGGUUAUGAUCUCAGGGUCCUUGGAUGGAGCACCACAUCGAGCUCCCCACUCUGCUGGAAGCCUGCUUCCCC
Mustela erminea (ermine) is the source of this 356-nucleotide long non-coding RNA. RefSeq lists it as uncharacterized. The record is from RefSeq and is a predicted model, not a curated record. The transcript has 3 exons. NCBI's taxonomy places the organism in Eukaryota, Metazoa, Chordata, Mammalia, Carnivora, Mustelidae.